UGCCCUGUGACCCAGUUUAACGGGCCGCGGUAUCUUAACCGUGCAAAGGUAGCACAAUCAAUUGUUCUUUAAAUAAGGACUAGUAUGAACGGCAUCACGAGGGAUUAGCUGUCUCCCUCCUUCCAUCAAUGAAACUGAUCUUCUCGUGAAGAAACGAGAAUAAAAAUAUAAGACGAAAAGACCCCAUGGAGCUUUAAACUCAUCAACAACUACUUAAGUGUAACCUUAAUAAUUAGUAGAGAUGUUCCUGAUAGUUUUAGGCUGGGGUGGCCCUGGGGUAAAAUAAAACCCCCAGGAUGAAUGGAAUUAUAACCCUAAAUUAAGAGCUACAACUCUAACAAUCAAAACUUUGACACAAUUGAUCCACUAUAUGAUCAACGAACCAAGUUACCCUGGGGAUAACAGCGCAAUCCAUUUCAAGAGCCCCUAUCGACAAAUGGGUUUACGACCUCGAUGUUGGAUCGGGAUAUCCUAGCAGCGCAGCAGUUGCUAACGGUUCGUUUGUUCAACGAUUAAUAAUCCCACGUGAUCU
Molecule: ribosomal RNA, 532 nt
Filed under: Hyperolius semidiscus (yellow-striped reed frog)
Lineage: Eukaryota; Metazoa; Chordata; Amphibia; Anura; Hyperoliidae
Description: partial large subunit ribosomal RNA
Rfam family: Bacterial large subunit ribosomal RNA
Source: RNAcentral